RNAcentral lists this non-coding RNA (77 nucleotides) under Prorocentrum minimum. Lineage: Eukaryota; Dinophyceae; Prorocentrales; Prorocentraceae. The record is from RNAcentral.
AUGAACGACCAUGAUAAGAAAAGAAAAGAAAAGGAUUUAUGGGCCCAUCGUUAUUUUUCUCUUGUUUCCUUUUCUUU